UACGUAGGGUGCGAGCGUUAAUCGGAAUUACUGGGCGUAAAGGGCUCGUAGGCGGCCAACUAAGUCAGACGUGAAAUCCCUCGGCUUAACCGGGGAACUGCGUCUGAUACUGGAUGGCUUGAGUUUGGGAGAGGGAUGCGGAAUUCCAGGUGUAGCGGGGAAAUGCGUAGAUAUCUGGAGGAACACCGGUGGCGAAGGCGGCAUCCUGGACCAACACUGACGCUGAGUGAGCGAAAGCCAGGGGAGCAAACGGG
This 254-nucleotide ribosomal RNA is filed under the name uncultured bacterium. RNAcentral describes it as "partial 16S ribosomal RNA". It matches the Rfam family "Bacterial small subunit ribosomal RNA", at positions 524 to 776 of the family's 1533-position model. The record is from RNAcentral.